AAGCGAAGCAAACUGUAAGGUUUUUUGCGAGAGAUUAUGUUUAGUUUUGAGCGUAGUAGCUCAAAAGAG
This 69-nucleotide ribosomal RNA is filed under the name Lactobacillus acidophilus. Lineage: Bacteria; Bacillati; Bacillota; Bacilli; Lactobacillales; Lactobacillaceae. The record is from RNAcentral.